CUCUCGUCCAUUUUACUGGCUGGAUGACAAAAUCACCCCUGACAGGCCGGAGCUUUUCAUGCAGCUCUGUGAGUGUUUGUGUGCCACACUGUACCAAAGAGCAGGGACACACAGGAGCCCAUUCGCUGCAUCAGGCCACCCGCUGUUGGUUCAGACUGCCGAGGGGCUUCGCGGGCUGGAGGUCCGUCUGCCGUCGAUGAGGGCGAGCGGUGCUGGGUCCCGGCUGGAUGCUCGUCAACGCCACAAGGACCUGAAAACUUCCAACUGAAGCUCCUUGACCCGUCUGACGGGCUCAGACAGCAGGAAUGAUCAUCAGACUGGGAAGACUGACUCCGGGAUACUUCCGUCUCCUCCAGAGGCAGAUGUCAGGUGAGGUCCAGAUUCAGCCUCAGAGCAGCCUCAUCGACCCCAUCGCCAUGACGAUGGCCACGGUGGGGAUGGGAGUGUCUCUGUACAGUGCCAGGCGGAUGUCAGAGAGGGUCCGACUGAAGCGGCCGACCGCCUGAGAGGUCUCACCUGUUCGCCGCUGUGCGGGCGGGUCACGUGACAGACGGCACGUUAGUGAACGUCGGAGAAAGUCUGUGUAGUAGGAAGCUCAGAGUGUGUGUCUGUGGGUGUGUGCGUUGCUGGAAGGAAAAGCGAAGGUAAAUGUGAGUCAGCGUGUCACCUGUGUGAGUCUGUAGUUUGAUAACCCUACGUACUGUGUGCAGGUUUCCUUGAAAAGGAGUAUUUAAUCAGGUAUUCUAGUGCAAUUAAUCAUUAAUUAAUAAACGUCUCAGCAUUGUAGUUUUGUUCAGUUUUAACAUACACGUUUGUGUAGUACACAGAUGUGCAGGAAAUCUCAUAAGAUAACAACGUGGGAACUCUGAUCACCUUUCCGGUCAUUUCUUGUAGUCUGUGAAUAAAUCCUUGAGCAAAGUGAGUCACUGAGUAUUCAUAGGGAGAGUUUUUCACCAGAGCUUCUUCGAAUUGCUAAUUUAUAACAUAUUUCAUGUUAGUUCAGGAUUUACUGAAGAAAAUGUCUGCAGAUGUGAAAUGUAACUCAGAACAUUUACAGUUUAUGGGUCUAAUAAAAAUGCUCACAUCUUC
Molecule: long non-coding RNA, 1089 nt
Organism: Archocentrus centrarchus (flier cichlid)
Lineage: Eukaryota; Metazoa; Chordata; Actinopteri; Cichliformes; Cichlidae
Exons: 3
Source: RefSeq, a predicted model, not a curated record